RNAcentral lists this transfer RNA (76 nucleotides) under Thermoproteota archaeon. RNAcentral's name for it is "Crenarchaeota archaeon (hot springs metagenome) tRNA-Glu". It matches the Rfam family "tRNA". Rfam says of the family: Transfer RNA (tRNA) molecules are approximately 80 nucleotides in length. Their secondary structure includes four short double-helical elements and three loops (D, anti-codon, and T loops). Further hydrogen bonds mediate the characteristic L-shaped molecular structure. tRNAs have two regions of fundamental functional importance: the anti-codon, which is responsible for specific mRNA codon recognition, and the 3' end, to which the tRNAs corresponding amino acid is attached (by aminoacyl-tRNA synthetases). tRNAs cope with the degeneracy of the genetic code in two manners: having more than one tRNA (with a specific anti-codon) for a particular amino acid; and 'wobble' base-pairing, i.e. permitting non-standard base-pairing at the 3rd anti-codon position. Lineage: Archaea; Thermoproteati; Thermoproteota. The record is from RNAcentral.
GCCUCGGUAGUUUAGCCUGGUUAAGAAUGUAGGCCUCUCAAGCCUAAGAUCCCGGGUUCAAAUCCCGGCCGAGGCA